Molecule: long non-coding RNA, 501 nt
Organism: Ictalurus punctatus (channel catfish)
Lineage: Eukaryota; Metazoa; Chordata; Actinopteri; Siluriformes; Ictaluridae
Source: Ensembl
CUGUCGUCUAGGGUGCCAACUUAAACAGGUUGCAGGCACGGUGCCCACUAACCCACCCCUAAACAGAGCCCACGGCAAGACCGUGAACGUUUCGCAAUUAGGGUCUGGCCACGGUGCCUACCUUUCCCUCAAGUGCCACAAUACGAGGUACCAGCUGAAGUAAAAAAGAAGCAGUCUUUCUUCCACAGCUCUUUCUGCAAGUCUUCUAAUUCCUCCAAUCAUCCAAACCACAACCAGGGCACCUUUUUCCUCUUUUCUCUCUCUCUCUCUCUCUCCCUCUCUCUCCCUCUCUCUCUCUCUCUCUCUCGUGUAGAGACGUGUCAGUGGACGUCGCUGUAAUUUGGAUAAAUACAGUACGUGGACCAUGUUUAUCACUUGUGAGAGAUGAAGAUGGCCCUGAUUACAGCUCAACCACAUGAAUGCAGCGUUUCAUGUCUUUGGUCUCUUCAGCACUCGAAUGACUCGGGCCGUGUUUCAGGAGCAGUGGUGGUGGCGGAAAAG